AGUUGCCUACGGGGGGCAGCAGUGAGGAAUAUUGGUCAAUGGACGCAAGUCUGAACCAGCCAUGCCGCGUGCAGGAAGACGGCUCUAUGAGUUGUAAACUGCUUUUGUACGAGGGUAAACGCAGAUACGUGUAUCUGUCUGAAAGUAUCGUACGAAUAAGGAUCGGCUAACUCCGCGCCAGCAGCCGCGGUAGUACGGAGGAUUCAAGCGUUAUCCGGAUUUAUUGGGUUUAAAGCGUGCGUAGGCGGUCGGAUCAGUUAGAGGUGAAAUCC
Molecule: ribosomal RNA, 272 nt
Filed under: uncultured bacterium
Lineage: Bacteria
Description: partial 16S ribosomal RNA
Rfam family: Bacterial small subunit ribosomal RNA
Source: RNAcentral